This 351-nucleotide ribosomal RNA is filed under the name uncultured Enterobacter sp. Its description in RNAcentral is "partial 16S ribosomal RNA". It matches the Rfam family "Bacterial small subunit ribosomal RNA", at positions 1014 to 1360 of the family's 1533-position model. Lineage: Bacteria; Pseudomonadati; Pseudomonadota; Gammaproteobacteria; Enterobacterales; Enterobacteriaceae. The record is from RNAcentral.
UCCCUUCGGGAACUNUGANACAGGUGNUGCAUGGCUNUNGUCAGCUNGUNUUGUGAAAUUUUGGGUUAANUCCCGCAACGNGNNCAACCCUUAUCNUUUNUUGCCAGCGGUUCGGCNGGGAACUCUAAGGAGACUGCCGGUGAUAAACCCGGAGGAAGGUGGGGAUGACGUCAAGUCAUCAUGGCCCUUACGGCCAGGGCUACACACGUGCUACAAUGGCGCAUACAAAGAGAAGCGACCUCGCGAGAGCAAGCGGACCUCAUAAAGUGCGUCGUAGUCCGGAUUGGAGUCUGCAACUCGACUCCAUGAAGUCGGAAUCGCUAGUAANUCGUAGAUCAAGAAUGACUCNAC